GUGAUCUGCCUCGCACUCUGGGAUAAGCUUGGGAAACUGGGUCUAAUACCGGAUAUGACCAUGGGAUGCAUGUUCUGUGGUGGAAAGAUUUAUUGGUGCGAGAUGAGCCCGCGGCCUAUCAGCUUGUUGGUGAGGUAACGGCCCACCAAGGCGACGACGGGUAGCCGGCCUGAGAGGGCGAUCGGCCACACUGGGACUGAGACACGGCCCAGACUCCUACGGGAGGCAGCAGUGGGGAAUAUUGCACAAUGGGCGAAAGCCUGAUGCAGCGACGCCGCGUGAGGGAUGACGGCCUUCGGGUUGUAAACCUCUUUCGACAGGGACGAAGCGCAAGUGACGGUACCUGUAGAAGAAGCACCGGCCAACUACGUGCCAGCAGCCGCGGUAAUACGUAGGGUGCGAGCGUUGUCCGGAAUUACUGGGCGUAAAGAGCUUGUAGGCGGUCUGUCGCGUCGUCUGUGAAAACUUGGGGCUCAACUCCAAGCUUGCAGGCGAUACGGGCAGACUUGAGUACUUCAGGGGAGACUGGAAUUCCUGGUGUAGCGGUGAAAUGCGCAGAUAUCAGGAGGAACACCGGUGGCGAAGGCGGGUCUCUGGGAAGUAACUGACGCUGAGAAGCGAAAGCGUGGGUAGCGAACAGGAUUAGAUACCCUGGUAGUCCACGCCGUAAACGGUGGGUACUAGGUGUG
RNAcentral lists this ribosomal RNA (689 nucleotides) under Nocardia sp. Its description in RNAcentral is "bacterial SSU rRNA". It matches the Rfam family "Bacterial small subunit ribosomal RNA", at positions 121 to 824 of the family's 1533-position model. The record is from RNAcentral. Lineage: Bacteria; Bacillati; Actinomycetota; Actinomycetes; Mycobacteriales; Nocardiaceae.